GAGUUUGAUCGUGGCUCAGAUUGAACGCUGGCGGCAUGCCUUACACAUGCAAGUCGAGCGGCAGCGCGGGGGCAACCCUGGCGGCGAGCGGCGAACGGGUGAGUAAUACAUCGGAACGUGUCCUGUCGUGGGGGAUAACCAGUCGAAAGAUUGGCUAAUACCGCAUGACCUCGUAAGAGAAAAGCGGGGGACCGUAAGGCCUCGCGCGACUGGAGCGGCCGAUGUCGGAUUAGCUAGUUGGCGGGGUAAAAGCCCACCAAGGCGACGAUCCGUAGCUGGUUUGAGAGAACGACCAGCCACACUGGGACUGAGACACGGCCCAGACUCCUACGGGGGCAGCAGUGGGGAAUUUUGGACAAUGGGGGCAACCCUGAUCCAGCCAUGCCGCGUGUGUGAAGAAGGCCUUCGGUUGUAAG
This 416-nucleotide ribosomal RNA is filed under the name uncultured beta proteobacterium. RNAcentral describes it as "bacterial SSU rRNA". It matches the Rfam family "Bacterial small subunit ribosomal RNA", at positions 9 to 429 of the family's 1533-position model. The record is from RNAcentral. Lineage: Bacteria; Pseudomonadati; Pseudomonadota; Betaproteobacteria.